GAACGGCGCACAAUGCGGCCAAAAAUAUUGCUGGCCCGCUGUUCCGAGGUUCAUCUUGGAAUCAGGGGUUGGAACUAAAUCUAAAUUGGUUUAAAGGUAUUUUUUAUCAUUUCAGCAAGAGGUUAAGAUGAUCGAAACGUCCGGUUCGAGCCAUGAGUUGAUGCCGUCGUUCCGGGGAUAGUUUGUGCUCGUGUUGAUGCUCGUGCGGGGGAUAGGACGCCACACCAACACCGUCCGUUGCGCACAGGGUGACUGCGCGCGAACAUCCUCCCGGCCCUUGAGGCGGAUGCCUCAAUCCAUCGGAAGCGGGACCAGCUUGUGCACCGGCCGCUGAUACUCCUUCUCUCCUCUGCGCACGGUGACGUUGCGAACGACGCCGUACGGGUCCGGAUGUGCUGCGACGAUCCUUGCGAGCUCCGCAGGUGGUGUGUUCUCGUUCUUGAUCAGGACCAGCUGUCCCGGAUCCAGAUUCUGCUGCACCGUUUGCCACUUGUUCCGGUGUUGGAGUGUGGCCACGUAUUCGUCACGCCAGAGUGCCCAGAUCUCGUUGACGUGGCGCUGAAUCCGUUGUCACUUGUCCAGACGGCCUUCCUUGAUGUGGCUGAUGUCCGGUUCCGGCAGCAGGUUGAGCGGCUGGUUGAUGAUAAAGUGGCCCGGCGUGAGGGCCUCGUACGAGUCAGGCGACGCAGAGCUGGCACAAGGGACGCGAGUUCAAGCACGACUCGAUCUGCGUCAAGACGGUCGAAAGGACCUCGUACGUCAGCGCCGUGUUCCCGAGCACCAUUCGGAGGUGCUUCUUCAUACUCUUCACCGCCGCUUCCCAGAUUCCUCCCAUGUGGGGGGCGGAUUGAGUGAUGAACGGCGGAUGGAGUGAUAAAGCGUCCGACAGGUACUGGUUGACAGCUCCGUUGAACUCAGGUGACUGCAGGUGCUCUCGGAUGCGUCGGUCCGCGCCCACGAAGUUGGUUCUGUGGUCGGACCAGAUCUCGCUGCUUAUCCCACGACGGACGAACAUGCGCUUGAGGGCGGUCAAGAACGCGCUCGUGGACAGGUCGGAAACGGCACUGCCUUGGUCGCGAGGCAAACGAACACAGCGACGUAACCCUUCACUGUCUUGGCCGUUCGAAGGUUGGAGGUGCGUACGAGGAAUGGACCCGCGAAGUCCACACCGCAGUGCACGAAAGGACGAGCCGGGUUCGUCCAUACGGAAGGCAGGCUUCCCAUCAGCUGCGUCGCGGUUUUCGCCUUCAUUCUGCAGCAGCGCGUGCAGUUCGCAACGUAGCCACGCACCACCGUUUGGCAGCCAACGAUCCAAUAUCUUUGGUUGAGUGUGGCGAUCAUCAGAGUUGGUCCUGCGUGCAGGUUGCGAAGGUGGACUUCUGACAGCAGCAAGUUCGUGUACCGAUGCUCUUUCGGGAUGAUCAUAGGAUGGCGCACGUCGUACGGCUGGUUGGAGUUCUGGAGUCGGCCACCAACCCGCAGAGUGCCAUCUGCGUCGACGAACGGAAACAAAGCCUUGAGCUUGCUGUUGCUUGGAAGCGGUGCAUUCUUGACCAGGCAAUCGAUUUCCGUCUGGAAGCUGUCGUGUUGAGCUGCUCGCGCCAGUUGCAAGCAAGCGUCGUUGAUCUUCUUUGGCGUCAGCGGUCAGUAUGGGCGCGUUGGUGCGACGAACCCGAGAGCUGAGCCGCAGACGGUUGAUCCAGCACAAGAUGCGCCGAAUGUGAGCCAGAUCCGAGUAGCGGCCAGCUGGGGCCGUAAAACAGGGGGUGCAUCAGCAGCUCAAGCGGCGUGAUUCCCCGGGACGCGCAGUCGGCCGGGUUGUUCUUGGACGACACGUGGAGCCAGUGUUUGCGUGACAGAAACUGCAGAAUCUUGGACGUGCGGUUGGCCACGAAUGUUUUCCAUAGGACGAGUGGUUCGAGUGAAUGCGGCGGCUCAGCAUUGUUGCUGCUCACAAAAUCCAAGAGUAUGACGCUGUGAAGCUACACGCUAUUCCAAAACUACCAACAUCUGUUGAAGGACCUGUUCAACGCGGCGUUCGUGCCCGCUAGACCGACUUGAAGGAGGAGCUGCCGUCUACUUUAAUGGGGAUUGGGCGAUUCCCAAAAACUGCUCGAUAUGGAACUCAAAGCGACGGCCGGAGGUGUGCGCCUAGGUCAACUGUUUGUCGAAGAUUGGCGGCAAAUCCAACCCGGCCAUCGACGUCCAUCCGUGGCUCAAGUUCGCUGAGCUCACCGUGAACAUUUUUCUAAAGGACAGCUGCUCGAUGUCGGAGGAUUUGCGGAAGUAUCUUCAGCAUCACCCCGUUUGCACCCAGUUUGAGAUUGCACGAUCGCAGGAAAUUAGCCAAAAGCGCGCGCGUGCCAAGUGAAUCCGCGAGAAGCAAUUCUUUCAAAUCUUUGAGCGCCAGCUGGAAAAAUCGAUGGCUCGACCCGCCAAGAUUCAGAUCGAUCCCAACAAGCAUUUCCCACAUUGCAAACAUCCAUAAAUUGAGUCAAGAUUAAAACUUUGAAUCUUUCAGUAUGGAAGCGUCGGAAGCUACGACUUUCUAUGGAACCUACCCUAGGAACCUGCCCAAGAACGGACCAAUCCGCAUCCCCCGGUACAUUGGCUGGCGCUGGUCUUCCGAGGCCAAAGAUGCUGUCUAUCUCGUCCCGUUGACCUUCCCUCGGCACCGACCAGUUCCACAAACGCGUUUGAAAUGCUGGCCACACCGCCAGCUCCCAAACUGCUUCAGCUGACGGGCUCAAAAAUGUCCGCUGUCCCGUCGGCGGAACGCCGUCGCAGAUCCGGCUCGAUCUCUGCUGUCGACGCCAACGAGAAGCUGCUGGAAAAAGCACGCUACUCCGAGUUCCGUAACGAUUUGAGUUGGCCAUUGAGGCGGCGCUCGGUGCACCGCGGUGUAGGAAGACCUCCAGAAGAACCUUGGCGAAGACAAAAAAACAGGCCGUCCCCACCGUGGAAGGAUCAUCCACUCGGCCAACCAAAACACCAACCGCCUCCUCACACUCUGGUUUGACUUCGGCCAAUACCGGUCUUUGACGCCCCACCUGGUUCCAAGUGAUCCGGAAGCUAAAAGUCCAAAUCGACGACCCGCGCAUUCAAUAAAUAAAAUUAAACAAAAAUAAAAUUUUAAUAAAAUUCAACAAAACAAGUAGCU
Long non-coding RNA from Culex quinquefasciatus (southern house mosquito), 3160 nucleotides. RefSeq lists it as uncharacterized. The transcript has 3 exons. The record is from RefSeq and is a predicted model, not a curated record. Lineage: Eukaryota; Metazoa; Arthropoda; Insecta; Diptera; Culicidae.